This 253-nucleotide ribosomal RNA is filed under the name uncultured bacterium. Its description in RNAcentral is "partial 16S ribosomal RNA". It matches the Rfam family "Bacterial small subunit ribosomal RNA", at positions 524 to 776 of the family's 1533-position model. The record is from RNAcentral.
UACGUGGGGAGCAAGCGUUGUCCGGAAUCAUUGGGCGUAAAGCGCGCGUAGGUGGCUUCGUAAGUCCGUUGUGAAAGUCAAAGGCUCAACCUUUGAAAGCCGAUGGAUACUGUGAAGCUAGAGUACGGAAGAGGCGAGUGGAAUUCCUGGUGUAGCGGUGGAAUGCGCAGAUAUCAGGAGGAACACCAAUAGCGAAGGCAGCUCGCUGGGACGUUACUGACACUGAGGCGCGAAAGCGUGGGGAGCGAACAGG